CUUAAUCCCUGAGCCACAUUGCAGUCCUUUUAUUUUUAAUUUUGAAAUAGGUGUCUCGCUGAGUUGCUGAGGUUGGCCUUGAACUUGUGAUUCUCCUGCCUACCCUCCUGAGUCACUGGAAUUCCAGACGUUUGCCACCACAUCCAGUAAGAGAACUCUCUUAGAACACACAUAAAUACACACACACACACACACACACACAAAAGUUAAAAAAAAAAAUUAUAUAACUCUUUCUGGAUUUUACUUUGUAAAAAAAUUGAUUAUGCUUUAGAACACUUUCGUUUUAUAGAAAAAUUGAGUGAAAAGUACAGAAAGAUCCUAUAUAACACCCACUCACCCCAUCCUACAAUUUGCCCUGUUAUUAAUAUCUUGCAUGAGUCUGGUACAUUUCUUAUAAUGGAUAAAACUAUACUGACAUAUUAUUAUUAAUUAAAGCCCAUAAUUUAUGGUUUCACGGUUUCUAUUUUAUAAUCUGUGGGUUUUAACAGAUGUAUAAUUUCUUAUAUGUAUCAUAGUGUCAUACAGAAUAUUCAUUGCCCUAAAAAUCCCCUGUGCUCCACUUAUUCAUCUCUCUACCACCCUCCCUAAUCCUUGGCAACCAUAUUUUUACUGUCUUCAUAGUUUUGCCUUUUCUAGAAUGUCUUAUAGUUGUAAUUAUGGAAUGUGGCUCUUUUAGAUAGGAUUUUUCCAUGGUGUAAUAUUCAUUUUAGGUUCCUCCAUAUCUUUUCAUGGCUUGAUACCUCAAUUCUUUUUAUCAAUGAAUACAUAGUUAACUGAAUAUAUGGCAAUAUAUCACAGUGUCAUAUCAUUGUGUGAAUGUACCACAGUUUAUCCAUUUGCCUAUUGAAGGACAUUUUGGUUUCUUCCAAGUUUUUGUAAUUAUGAAUAAAACUACUAUAAACAUUCAUGUGCAUGAUUUUUUAUAAACAUGAGUUUUCAACUCAUUUGGUCAAAUACCAAGAGUGCAAUUGCGGGAUAACAUGGUAAGAGUUAUGUUUAACUUUGUAAGAAAUUACCAAACUGUGUUCCAAAGUAGCUGCACCAUUUCACAUUACCAC
Molecule: long non-coding RNA, 1058 nt
Filed under: Marmota monax (woodchuck)
Lineage: Eukaryota; Metazoa; Chordata; Mammalia; Rodentia; Sciuridae
Source: RNAcentral